This 469-nucleotide ribosomal RNA is filed under the name uncultured bacterium. RNAcentral describes it as "partial 16S ribosomal RNA". It matches the Rfam family "Bacterial small subunit ribosomal RNA", at positions 28 to 507 of the family's 1533-position model. The record is from RNAcentral.
GACGAACGCUGGCGGCGUGCUUAACACAUGCAAGUCGAACGGUGAAGCGAGUGCUUGCACUCGUGGAUCAAUGGCGAACGGGUGAGUAACACGUGAGUAACCUGCCCAUCACUCUGGGAUAAGCACUGGAAACGGUGUCUAAUACUGGAUACGACCAACCCUUGCAUGGGGUGUUGGUGGAAAGAUUUAUCGGUGAUGGAUGGACUCGCGGCCUAUCAGCUUGUUGGCGGGGUAAUGGCCCACCAAGGCGACGACGGGUAGCCGGCCUGAGAGGGUGACCGGCCACACUGGGACUGAGACACGGCCCAGACUCCUACGGGAGGCAGCAGUGGGGAAUAUUGCACAAUGGGCGAAAGCCUGAUGCAGCGACGCCGCGUGAGGGAUGACGGCCUUCGGGUUGUAAACCUCUUUCAGCAGGGAAGAAGCGAAAGUGACGGUACCUGCAGAAGAAGCACCGGCUAACUACGUG